UUACUUUGUGAGGCCGUGUCAGAUAACUUCACUUCAACCUCCGACAUUUUUUCUGUAACAUCUUUGGUUAGCUUCCUGUGGACAGAAGGACAUUGUAUGAAGAUGAAUGAAAGGUUACAGAAUCAAAGCACAGCAGAGUUGGAAUGAGCCUUGGAGAUAAUUUUGUCUGACUCAGACGGGAAGCACAAAUCCCCAUCUAGUUUCUUGGAGACCCUGGUAUUAUGCGGAAAUGAAAGCUGAGAGAUGUUAAAUGAUUUGUCCAUAAUCACACAGCUAAAGAACUCUUUUUGCUACAUCGCUUCACAUUUCCAUGCCGUCAACUUCUCUAGAAGCUGUAAUUCUAUCUCUGGUGGGAGAAUACCAGUUCAACGUUAUGGGACUUAAAGACAAGGAUUACUUGCCAAGAAUGGUUCCCUCCCAUGAAAUGCCGUUGAGAAACAUGUUCGCUCUCACUUGCCAGCAUCAAGGAUCUAUUGCAGCAUCUGCUGAGGAAGAUAUGUCUAGGCAAGUAUUCCAAAGGAAAGCCAGAACUAAGAGCCUCUUGAGGCAGCUGAAUUCCCUGGGACUUCACACUUGAAAAGCAAGAGUCAUAUUUUGCAGAUGGUUGGGUCACAGUUCAACUAAUGUUAACAGCUGAUUUUGGGCUUAGUUUGAGAGGUGACCCAAUGACUCUCCUAAAAAGUAUCAUACUUUAAUAUCAUGAGGGACAAGGGUGCUGCUAAAGCUAUUACAGACACAGAAGUGUUUCUUUGUUUAUCCCAUUUCUAGAAAUGCCUUUCCAAUCAGGUCACUUGGGAGGGCAAGUAGUCUUUGUAAGAGGAAUGAACACCAAAGAUCUUUUCAAUGAAAAUCCCAUAUUCAGGCAGUUAAAGUGGAACACUCAAUUUAUAGCUGGCGCUCAAAUACCCCACAGACGCUAAAAUUAUACAGAAAAUAUUGCUGCAAUGGUUCUAAAUGCUGUAAAUGGGCUGCCAUAAGUAGAAUAAUUGACAUAAGUGAUGUUCUUCUGUUUCUGGAGUUCACAAAAGGGGUAAAGGCAGGAUAAAUGUAAGUUAAUACACAGCAGGGUGCUUGCUUUAAGAGAGUGGGGUUAUUUGGGAAAGGAUUAUUAAAUCUGUUCACUUUGAAAAAAGGAAAAUGUGGUUAUAAUAUGAGCAUAGCCCAUGGGUUGCCUGAGAAAGGGCCACUUAGAUGUGAUGGACAGGCGUUUAGGUGGAAACUAAUGGGGAUGAGUUCCAUAUACAAUUCUCUUUUUUGUUGUUCCUUGUGUACUAAGAGGUUUUGGGUUUGCUUAUUAGCAUUAAAUUGAUGCUAUAAGAGUAACUAUUAUAAAGAAAAGAGGAAACAAUGGGUACAGUGAUAAUGAGUAGAUAAGGAGGAACUGUGUUGAAUCCUUCUCUAAGUGUUUCUGGGAAGGAAGAAAAAAAAGAAAAGAGUGGAGGGAGGAAAGAAGAAAAGAAGAAAGGAAAUA
Molecule: long non-coding RNA, 1471 nt
Organism: Phascolarctos cinereus (koala)
Lineage: Eukaryota; Metazoa; Chordata; Mammalia; Diprotodontia; Phascolarctidae
Source: RefSeq, a predicted model, not a curated record